RNAcentral lists this long non-coding RNA (1511 nucleotides) under Gallus gallus (chicken). RNAcentral's name for it is "lncRNA (ENSGALG00010011093.1)". Lineage: Eukaryota; Metazoa; Chordata; Aves; Galliformes; Phasianidae. The record is from RNAcentral.
CUCGUGGAAGGCGCUGGCUGCCCUCAGAGGGGAUUGUUACAUCAGGCCCGAGAAGUGGGUUGCAUGCAGCAGCUGCUAUAGUAUCUGCAGCUGCCUUCUGAUGCAAGAUGAAUGACCACUACGGCAGCAGCCCAAAACCAGGUGGACAUUACUCAAACUGCAAGAGUUUGGAGAUUGGUCUGUCUUUAUUAGGAACUUGUUGUUUCUGCAGUCAUGGAGAUGCUUUCAGUACCCCCACAUGCACUGUGCAGCUACUGGCAAAUGAGGAACACAGCACGUGUAUCUGAAGUGAUAACUGGCUUUGGAGAAGAUGGUCUUCACUGAUUUAAUUGUAUGCAUUUGUGAAUACAAUUGUGAAGAUUGCUGACUGGUAACACAGGUUUUUGUUAGCCAUAUUAACCCUCUUACAGUAAUAUAACAAAUUUUGCAUUGGCAAGUAUACAAUUUCACCCAGGUGGGGAGUUCUGCUGUUCAUUUAUUUAAGCAGUGAAGGGCUUAUACUUUCUGAACAGCAAGAUUUUUCAGAGAAAUAUUCCAUUGUCAUUACCCACUGGCACUUAAAUGAUGACCUUAGAGUCCCUCAUAUGGCCAUGUUUAAGUCACAGAAUUAGCAGCUCUAGGAUGAGGAGCAUUUUUGUGCCUCAAGACAAAAUCACAGCCAUUUGAAUGGCAGCAUUAAGGCAGUGUGAUCAGCGGUAGUGUUGUGCUCUGCACAGCAGAUAUGCAAUUGUAGUCUACAGUGGGUGCAGCUGUGUGCAGGCACACUUCAUGCAGCCCAAGCAUGGGGCAGGUCCAGGUGAGCCAGUUGUUGUUGUGUUUGCUUUGCAUGAAGCUCUAGGUACAGAAAAUCCAUUGCCACGAUGAGAAGGAGAAUGUGCUAUUCUCUUGUUGGUUUAUUUUUAUGUGCUGGUAUUGCAGACCCUUCAGUAACAAUGCUAAAAGGUUGGAUACUGUUUUCUGAUCCUUCUUUCAAAUCUUUAAAAUGUGUUUAAAAAAAAAAAAGAUUAAAAACUGAACCUUUAAAUUAACUGAAAGUACAUGGAAAAAAUAGAGUUUCUUGUCCACUGAGAAGUUGGCAGUUAGAACAAAAUAGUAAAACAAAACCACGUGCCAAAUUGUGCCCUUGGAGAAAUUCCCCAAGGAGUCUGCAAUAGUUACUUCUGCAUUGACACUUUCAUUUCUAUAUUCCACAGCUUCUCUAGCACAGAUAGAGAGCCCAGAUCAAUGAUGUAAUUUACCAAUGUAGACCUUAAUUUCUAUUUUUAAGCAAGUAAAAUCAUAAAUUUUUGUGUAGGAGUUUGGGGGCAUCUUGUGAAGGAGCACUGCGGCCUCUGACCACAGGUGGCUAUAAAGCCAGAAUAAAUACUGAUGGGAGAGCAUACUGAAUUUGUAAAAUAUCAAUCCAAGCAGAACAAAAGGAUUCUUUCUAUCUCCUGCCUGAAAAAUACUCUUGAUUCUUCCCCACCCCCAACAGAAGGAAUAAAUGAACAAAGAGUUCAACUGAACUGAGA